UUGCUCUUCUUGGAUGAGUUGCGAACGGGUGAGUAACGCGUAGGUAACCUGCCUUGUAGCGGGGGAUAACUAUUGGAAACGAUAGCUAAUACCGCAUAACAAUGGGUGACACAUGUCAUUUAUUUGAAAGGGGCAAUUGCUCCACUACAAGAUGGACCUGCGUUGUAUUAGCUAGUAGGUGAGGUAACGGCUCACCUAGGCGACGAUACAUAGCCGACCUGAGAGGGUGAUCGGCCACACUGGGACUGAGACACGGCCCAGACUCCUACGGGAGGCAGCAGUAGGGAAUCUUCGGCAAUGGGGGCAACCCUGACCGAGCAACGCCGCGUGAGUGAAGAAGGUUUUCGGAUCGUAAAGCUCUGUUGUAAGUCAAGAACGAGUGUGAGAGUGGAAAGUUCACACUGUGACGGUAGCUUACCAGAAAGGGACGGCUAACUACGUGCCAGCAGCCGCGGUAAUACGUAGGUCCCGAGCGUUGUCCGGAUUUAUUGGGCGUAAAGCGAGCGCAGGCGGUUUGAUAAGUCUGAAGUUAAAGGCUGUGGCUCAACCAUAGUUCGCUUUGGAAACUGUCAAACUUGAGUGCAGAAGGGGAGAGUGGAAUUCCAUGUGUAGCGGUGAAAUGCGUAGAUAUAUGGAGGAACACCGGUGGCGAAAGCGGCUCUCUGGUCUGUAACUGACGCUGAGGCUCGAAAGCGUGGGGAGCGAACAGGAUUAGAUACCCUGGUAGUCCACGCCGUAAACGAUGAGUGCUAGGUGUUGGAUCCUUUCCGGGAUUCAGUGCCGCAGCUAACGCAUUAAGCACUCCGCCUGGGGAGUACGACCGCAAGGUUGAAACUCAAAGGAAUUGACGGGGGCCCGCACAAGCGGUGGAGCAUGUGGUUUAAUUCGAAGCAACGCGAAGAACCUUACCAGGUCUUGACAUCCCGAUGCUAUUUCUAGAGAUAGAAAGUUACUUCGGUACAUCGGUGACAGGUGGUGCAUGGUUGUCGUCAGCUCGUGUCGUGAAAUGUUUGGGUUAAGUCCCGCAACCAGCGCAACCCCUAUUGUUAG
RNAcentral lists this ribosomal RNA (1050 nucleotides) under Streptococcus salivarius. Its description in RNAcentral is "bacterial SSU rRNA". It matches the Rfam family "Bacterial small subunit ribosomal RNA", at positions 80 to 1114 of the family's 1533-position model. Lineage: Bacteria; Bacillati; Bacillota; Bacilli; Lactobacillales; Streptococcaceae. The record is from RNAcentral.